Molecule: long non-coding RNA, 280 nt
Organism: Brienomyrus brachyistius
Lineage: Eukaryota; Metazoa; Chordata; Actinopteri; Osteoglossiformes; Mormyridae
Exons: 2
Source: RefSeq, a predicted model, not a curated record
GUGCCACAAUGCCUAAAGUCACAGCAGCCUUGCUUAUGGCAUCCAGAAUAUUUCAUGCAAAAUUUUAAUUAGUAUAGAUGCUUUGUGCUCCUAUUUAGAGGAUGCAUGUCUAAUAUGUUAAGAAUAACGCUCAGAUUGCAGUAGGUACUGUAACGUACCGGUGGGAUGCUACAGAAAAAUGAUACAGGGAGCUGGACAGACCCUGCACUCAGAAAAAGUUCAUCUGAUGUACCUGUUCUCCUCUUUGUACAAGUGGAAAAUAAAGCUUUAUUUCAUUGCA